RNAcentral lists this long non-coding RNA (757 nucleotides) under Homo sapiens (human). RNAcentral describes it as "non-protein coding lnc-FUBP1-4:1". The record is from RNAcentral. Lineage: Eukaryota; Metazoa; Chordata; Mammalia; Primates; Hominidae.
AUAUAAGGAAUUUCUCUUGGAACUGGCUUCUAACAACAUUUAUGCAUGCAAACAAAAGCAUUGUAAAUCAGGCUUUUCUAAAAGAGAGGUGCUCAAAGUCAGCAUGCUUGGUUACUGGUAUUCUUAGCAGGACCUUCUGUUCUCUUUCAUUCCCAGUCACUUUCUGACAGCUUAAUCUUUCUAAAUCUUGCUUUGGAUCGCUUGAGCUUCUAGGAAGUACUUUGGAUUACUGGAAUUACAGACUUCAUUCUAAAAUUUCUUUUUAUAAGCUCUUUUUAUGUAUUGCUAAUCAUAUUACAGAGAGUAAUAUUGAUGCCUUAUUUCAUCAUACCUUUUUAAAUCCGAGGGUUUACUGGUAUAUGCCUAUUAGAAAAAUUAUGUCAGUAUUACUGAAUUUUAUUCCCACACCACUGUGGUCUUGUUACCUUACUGACUAUGGAGAGUUUGGUAAUAUAACCAGAUAGAUUUUCAGGAUAUGCCCAGCUUUAUUCUACCUCAUUUUAAAGUUUUUGGAUUUUUUGGCUAUCUGGAACUUUCAAAUAGGUUUUUGUGAAUAUUUUUUAUGCAACAAAGUUACUGAGCAGCUUGUUCAGAUGUGUUCAAUACAUCAGGUGGAAUUUCAGAAGCUUAUUCUUCCCAUCAGUUCACAAACAUUUUAUAAAUAGUCCAGUGCCCUAUGGUUUAACAGAAAAUAUGUCCAUUGUGCAGAACCAUAUUUUCAGACUAUAUACACAAAUGGAAAGAUGGGCCACUUCAU